This is a non-coding RNA of Phoenix dactylifera (date palm), 1567 nucleotides long. NCBI's taxonomy places the organism in Eukaryota, Viridiplantae, Streptophyta, Magnoliopsida, Arecales, Arecaceae. The record is from RefSeq and is a predicted model, not a curated record.
UUUCCCCUUCCUGAACAAAUGAAAUUCCAAAGAAAUUCAAAAGUAGGCUUGCCUGAUGGAAUCUGGAUGCUUGCCCUAGCCAAGAACUGUCUAUUGGUGGUAAGUAAAGGUGUGAGUAACUGAGAAAUCAGUGACUGUGUUGUUCUCUUGCAUGAUAAUUUUUGUUUCUGCUUUCAGUUUAUAGUUGCAUUGUUGGCACUGGUGUAUGACGCAUUGUUGGCAUUGAAGUAUUAUUUUGCUUGUUAUUUGUCUUUUAAGUUUAUACCUUCUUUGAUUAAGGAGCACUUCAGUUUGAUAGGUUACUAAAGAAUUAUUACAACAUAUAUCAACAGAGAAUUGCUCUCUAAGGAACGGAAAAACCUGUUUUGGGAGUUUACUGAUCUCUGGUUAGAACCAGAUAAAGGCUCAGAUUGUUUGACAGCCAAAUGCUGCAUUCACAAAAUUGUCCAUGAUGGGCGCUUGCUUCUAAGUGAACCCUUGGGAUCAGUUUUUGAAUUUUCUCUUAUGCUUCGGUUAGCAUCUCCUACACUAGUGCUCUACUGGCAGUUGGCGGAGGAUUCUUUAUCUUCUUAUCCUUCUGACGACGAAACCAACUCAGAACAUGUUAUGGGAGACUUGUCAGAGCCAAUUUCAAGAGUCAAGGCAGAACCUUUUCUCAUAUGCAGAAACCUGUGAAGCCCUGGAGGAAGUAGUUGCUGGGUAGAUACUGGUAGUGCACUACUGUUCAAUGUUACUGAUCUUCUUUCAUGGCUUGACACUUCAGCCAAACUAGCUGUGGGAUCUGCUGAGUAGGCUGAACUUUUUGAUUUUGAUCACAUAUAUUUUGGUUCAAGUAUUGCCAGUCCAGUUGCUAUUCUAUAUGGAGCUCUUGGACCAGAAUGCUUUAGAGAGUUUCAUGUUACCUUGGUGGAAGCAUCAAAAAAAGAAGAAGAACUCAUUUCACCUAAAGGAAUGUGCAGUUUCCAUAGCAUUGGCAAUUGGAUUGGUCACUGGUGUUCCUACAUUGGACUGGCCUGCACAUGCAUCCCCUUGAGGCCCUGUGCUGCCUGAUCUGUCAGUGCUAAUUUCUGGACCACCUAUUAAGGAUCCUGGUGCCUUGUUGAGGUAUGCAUUGCCAAUCAAUAACAAAGCCAUUCGGGAGGUUCAAAAGCCUCUUGAGGAUAUCACAGACAGUCUCAAGGUCUCCGGGGUUAGAGCAUUGGAUUUAGUUGAGAGAGUAAGCAUAACUAAAAAAAAUCUCAUUCUGAGAUCUUAUUUGCUAUUCCUUACAAUUUCUGCAGUCACUCAAGUGAUUUUUGUUUUAUAAUUACUGAAUUAUACAUGUUACAGUAUGUCAUGUAAAAUGAUGUUCUUAAAUGAGUACAUUGUGCUCAUCUUUGGCUUUGCUUUACAAAAAGCAGUUUCACCAUUCUUCAACUCGAAAAUAAAAAGGAAUGAGUUUGAAAGAAGCUGAUUUUCAUAAUGCUUAAUAAAAAGUGCUGCUCACACAAGCAGAGGUCAAAUAGCUUCUUCUACGAGAUGCUAGAGAAACUAGUUUUCAUUUCAUGCUUGUAUCGAUCACAUUAUA